RNAcentral lists this ribosomal RNA (301 nucleotides) under uncultured bacterium. RNAcentral's name for it is "partial 16S ribosomal RNA". It matches the Rfam family "Bacterial small subunit ribosomal RNA", at positions 509 to 807 of the family's 1533-position model. The record is from RNAcentral.
CAGCAGCCACGGUAAAACAGAGGGUGCGAGCGUUAAUCGGAUUUACUGGGCGUAAAGCGUGCGUAGGCGGCUUCUUAAGUCGGAUGUGAAAUCCCUGAGCUUAACUUAGGAAUUGCAUUCGAUACUGGGAAGCUAGAGUAUGGGAGAGGAUGGUAGAAUUCCAGGUGUAGCGGUGAAAUGCGUAGAGAUCUGGAGGAAUACCGAUGGCGAAGGCAGCCAUCUGGCCUAAUACUGACGCUGAGGUACGAAAGCAUGGGGAGCAAACAGGAUUAGAUACCCCGGUAGUCCCUGUCUCUUAUAC